This 774-nucleotide ribosomal RNA is filed under the name uncultured Neocallimastigales. RNAcentral describes it as "partial large subunit ribosomal RNA". It matches the Rfam family "Eukaryotic large subunit ribosomal RNA", at positions 22 to 635 of the family's 3401-position model. Lineage: Eukaryota; Fungi; Neocallimastigomycota; Neocallimastigomycetes; Neocallimastigales. The record is from RNAcentral.
CUAUACAUGACUCUGCGCAUAUCAAUAAGCGGAGGAAAAGAAACUAACAAGGAUUCCCCUAGUAACGGCGAGUGAAGCGGGAAGAGCUCAAAUUUGAAAUCUUAAAGGGUUUCCCUUUACGAAUUGUAGUUUAAAGAAGUGUUUUCUGUUGAGGUUUUGGUAAAAGUUCUUUGGAAUAGGACAUCAUAGAGGGUGAGAAUCCCGUAUUUGACCUUUACUUUCAACUUUGUGAUACACUUUCAAAGAGUCGGAUUGUUUGGGAAUGCAGUCCAAAAUGGGUGGUAAAUUUCAUCUAAAGCUAAAUAUUGGCGAGAGACCGAUAGCGAACAAGUACCGUGAGGGAAAGAUGAAAAGAACUUUGAAAAGAGAGUUAAACAGUACGUGAAAUUGUCAAAAGGGAAGCGUUUGACACCAGUGUUGUUUUUCUGAAAAUCAAUUAAGGAACUGUUUAUGCUAAGUUGUUUAGACUUUAUCAGCUAUCUGUUUAGUUUUGAGCUUUUCUUUAAUGCACUUUUCAGUUAACAAGUCAACAUCAAUUUCUUUUGCUGUAAAAAAGCUUGAGGAAGGUGGCUUGAGAUUCGUCUUAAGUGUUUAUAGCCUCUUGCCUAUGCAGUCGGAGAGAUUGAGGUCUGCAGCGUAGAUCCUUCGGGGCUAAAUGCAUUUGUGCUAAGUUAUAGCAUUUUAUAGACAACUUGUUGACUAUGAUUUGUCUUGUAGCUUACUCGCUUAUGUUAUUUUAUCUACGCUUAGGAUGUUGAUCUACAGAGCGAGAGU